UACGGGAGGCAGCAGUGGGGAAUAUUGGACAAUGGGCGAAAGCCUGAUCCAGCCAUGCCGCAUGAGUGAAGAAGGCCUUCGGGUUGUAAAGCUCUUUUAGUGAGAAAGAUAAAUGACGGUACUCACAGAAGAAGUCCUGGCUAACUCCGUGCCAGCAGCCGCGGUAAUACGGAGAGGGCUAGCGUUAUUCGGAAUUAUUGGGCGUAAAGAGCGCGUAGGCUGAUUAGUAAGUUAAAAGUGAAAUCCCAAAGCUUAACUUUGGAAUUGCUUUUUAAAACUGCUAGUCUAGAGAUUGAAAGAGGAUAGAGGAAUUCCUAGUGUAGAGGUGAAAUUCGUAAAUAUUAGGAGGAACACCAGUGGCGAAGGCGUCUAUCUGGUUCAAAUCUGACGCUGAGGCGCGAAGGCGUGGGGAGCGAAACAGGGAUUAGAUACCCGU
This 436-nucleotide ribosomal RNA is filed under the name uncultured bacterium. RNAcentral describes it as "bacterial SSU rRNA". It matches the Rfam family "Bacterial small subunit ribosomal RNA", at positions 340 to 789 of the family's 1533-position model. The record is from RNAcentral.